UACAAAUCUUAGCGGUGGAUCACUCGGUUCGUGGAUCGAUGAAGAACGCAGCUAGCUGCGAUAAAUAGUGCGAAUUGCAGACACAUUGAGCACUAAAAUUUCGAACGCACAUUGCGCCAUCGGGUUCAUUCCCGUUGGCACGUCUGGCUGAGGGUCA
Molecule: ribosomal RNA, 157 nt
Filed under: Toxocara vitulorum
Lineage: Eukaryota; Metazoa; Nematoda; Chromadorea; Rhabditida; Toxocaridae
Description: 5.8S ribosomal RNA
Rfam family: 5.8S ribosomal RNA
About the family: 5.8S ribosomal RNA (5.8S rRNA) is a component of the large subunit of the eukaryotic ribosome. It is transcribed by RNA polymerase I as part of the 45S precursor that also contains 18S and 28S rRNA.
Source: RNAcentral